AAUCAACGCUGGCGGCGUGCCUAACACAUGCAAGUCGAACGCGAGAGAGGCUUCGGCCUCAAUUGAGUGGCAAACGGGUGAGUAACACGUGGGUGACCUACCUUCGAGUGGGGGAUAACGUCCCGAAAGGGACGCUAAUACCGCAUAACAUCCUGCCUUUGAACAGGCGGAGAUCAAAGCCGGGGAUCGUAAGACCUGGCGCUUGAUGAGGGGCCCGCGUCUGAUUAGCUAGUUGGUGAGGUAACGGCCCACCAAGGCGACGAUCAGUAUCCGGCCUGAGAGGGCGGACGGACACACUGGGACUGAGACACGGCCCAGACUCCUACGGGAGGCAGCAGUGGGGAAUUGUUCACAAUGGGCGCAAGCCUGAUGACGCAACGCCGCGUGGAGGAUGAAGGUCUUCGGAUUGUAAACUCCUGUUGCUCGGGACGAAAAGCUUCGACCUAAUACGUCGAGGUCUGACGGUACCGAGUGAGGAAGCCCCGGCUAACUCUGUGC
This 498-nucleotide ribosomal RNA is filed under the name uncultured bacterium. RNAcentral describes it as "bacterial SSU rRNA". It matches the Rfam family "Bacterial small subunit ribosomal RNA", at positions 32 to 508 of the family's 1533-position model. The record is from RNAcentral.